This 460-nucleotide ribosomal RNA is filed under the name uncultured bacterium. RNAcentral's name for it is "partial 16S ribosomal RNA". It matches the Rfam family "Bacterial small subunit ribosomal RNA", at positions 338 to 795 of the family's 1533-position model. The record is from RNAcentral.
CCUACGGGUGGCUGCAGUGAGGAAUAUUGGUCAAUGGGCGCGAGCCUGAACCAGCCAAGUAGCGUGAAGGAUGACUGCCCUACGGGUUGUACACUUCUUUUUUAAAGGAAUAAAGUGAUGCACGUGUGCCUUUUUGUAUGUACUUUAUGAAUAAGGAUCGGCUAACUCCGUGCCAGCAGCCGCGGUAAUACGGAGGAUACGAGCGUUAUCCGGAUGUAUUUGGUUUAACGGGAUCGGAGAUGGUUUGUUAAGUCAGUUGUGAAAGUUUGCGGCUCAACCGUAAAAUUGCAAUUGAUACUGGCAGGCUUGAGUACAGUUGAGGUAGGCGGAAUGCGUGGUGUAGCGGUGAAAUGCUUAGAUAUCACGAAGAACUCCGAUUGCGAAGGCAGCUUACUAAACUGCCACUGACAUUGAUGCUCGAAAGUGUGGGUAUCAAACAGGAUUAGAUACCCGUGUAGUC